Molecule: long non-coding RNA, 7151 nt
Organism: Hypanus sabinus (Atlantic stingray)
Lineage: Eukaryota; Metazoa; Chordata; Chondrichthyes; Myliobatiformes; Dasyatidae
Exons: 4
Source: RefSeq, a predicted model, not a curated record
CAGCUCCUUGGGAAGACCAGAUUGAGGAGUUCAAAGUUCAAAGUACAUUUACUAUCAAAGUGUGUAGACAUUGUACAACCUUGAGAUCUGUCUGCUAACAGGCAACCAGAAAACAAAGAACACCCCCCCAAAUAAAACCUUAAAAAAGACCAUGAAACCCCCAAGGUGCAGAGAAAAAAAAUCAAAUCAUGCAACUAUAAGUUCAAGCAAGCAAGUAGCAUUCUGAACUCAAGUCCACAAAGACAGUCUUGCCCGUAGACACUUAGCUCAGUGCAGAGCAGAGCAGUCUGAACCAGUCCGUCACUUGCUUUGGGCUCGGACUCCCUGACCUUUCCAACCUGACCCAGUGCUGAAAUCAUCCAAACACUGGGCUCUGGACCUUGGGCCCUACUGCCUUGAUCCGGCCUGUGCCUAACAAUGUGUGUUGGUUGAAUUUCCAGCACCUGCAGACUUUCUUUUGUUAAACAUUUCUGAUGUGACCCAGUGCUUAAAUCUUUGUCCAAACUUCGGUUCAGUUGCUUCGAUACGCUCUGGGGCUUGGACCCUGCCGCCACGAUUCGGCCCGUCCCCAACCCUCCCAAUUCACUUAGUACUUAAACCGAUCAAACCUUGGGUCUUCCUCACUCUCGACAGGCCUGCUGCCUCGUCUCGCCUCCGUUCUGCUACAUUGAAUUACCAAGUCCAAAGCCACCAGCCAGAAGUCGCUGAUAUUCACCAGUGCCAUCUUAAACUGAGGUGUUCAAACACAAGAAAACCAGAUACAGGAACAGGCUGAGCAGUGCCAAAGACAGGAGUGGAGGGCACGAUGAGGGCAUAUAGAGGUGGGGUGUAGAGAUGUUGCUUGCUGCUCGAGUGCAGACCCUACUCUCUCCUUUGUUAUUAGGGCCGCAAAGAGAAGAGCCAGCAGGGCCAUCACAGAGCCUGCUGAGCGAGCCUCCAGUUGGCUAUGGAUCAAGAGGUGUGACUGGUGAGUGCUGCUGGGACACAAACCAAGGCCUGAUCAACCCUGGCUGGGUCGCCUGGGCAAUGGUCUCUAAUGUUGAAAGACCUAAAACUCCUGAUGACCGCAAGUUAAAUCACAGAUGAUGUGUCCCAGCACAUCCUCGGAUGUACCUCAGCAUCAUGGACGGGCCAUCAACCAUGCAUUUACUCUAAUCCUACAUAAUCCUAUUUUUAAAAUUCUCCUUCACUUACCGACACAUUAAGGGCAAUUUACAGAGGACAAUUAACUCACCACUCAGCACUUCAUUGGGAUAAACCAGAGGAAAGCUUUGCCAUCACAGGGAGACAUACACCCUGGAUUUCUGGCACUGUGGAGACCGUGACUGCACUAUGUCACUUUUACUUACAGUGGACAUGAGGCUCAUCAGCACUUCCCUCGAUUUAUCUGCCACCUGCCUACACCUGGGGUAACCUACAGCAGGCAAAGGACACACCUAUAGGGUGCAGGUGAAACCUAUGUUGUCACAGAGAGCACAUGUGGAGGUCAGCAUUGGAUGCAGACCGAUGGAGCUAUGAGACAAUCAAAAUGCAGUGAUCUUCUUGAACUGGUUGGUUUGGAUUUGUCCCAAGUGGAUUUGGAGUGAGAGGCAAUGGCCAAGUGAACCUGAAGAGGAUUCUACUGCACUGAAACACUGGGCUCCUCUCCCUCUGCCAGAUAAACGCUGAGCUAAUUGAAUUGCGUGGAAGAGUUUAAAGUCCUUGAAAUGGUACAUAGUCUGUAAUUAGACAGGAUCUGUCAGGAAGAAAUAGCAUGCAUGGCAAAGAAAGUCUAAAUUCGUAGAAAAGCCAUGUUCACACUCACGAGAAGCUAUCAAAAUAACAAUUGUCUGUAUAAACAAAACAUUGUGAAAAUGCCAUGAAGGAAGAAGAAUAAAUUUGACAGGGUUCAAAUAUACAAGUCUGUGCAAAUUCAAGGAAAUUGCUGACAAUUUUUUUUUCAGCUUUGUUAAUUAAGAGCGAUUUUUUUCCGUGAACAAUGAGACGUGAUCCAAAAUUACUUUAAGAUAAAUUACUUGAAAGCCAUUAAUGCAAAAACAACCUAAGUAGAUAUAUUAAAUUCCUAGAAAGCACGUCAGUAUGGUUGGAGAUGCUAAGCAGAUUACUACAGAUCUAUUUUACUUAGAAAAUGAUGACCUAAUUUGAUGAUUGAAUUCUCUCUCUGCCUUUCUCCAAAAGCAGUAAUACUCAAGUGCAUUAGAAAAAGAAGACUAUUCCCACAGGGUCAAUGUGCACAGUCUAUUAGUGCAGCAACAGCCUUUUCCCUUCAUUUGAUUGAUUAUAAACCAUGAGGCAAUCUUUACAGUUGUGUCCUUUAGCCAUUCCUGCAGCAUGCUGUUUAUUAAACCAUAUUUGAAAUCUAAAUAAUGUUGACGAGAAUGAUUUAUGUAAACCCUGUGACUUUUACGACUGUGAGCGUGAUGAAGGAUUACGCAGUGCAAUGAUACGAGUAUUUGCAGCCUGUAUAAUUUGCUGAAUAGUGAGACCAUCACUAAUGUAUAUGUACCUGAGCAUUUUCACAGUGUGUCAUUGUCUAUUGUCAUGUCAAGCCAAGUCAAGUUUAUUGUCACUUAUGAAACUAUAUACAUGUAUAUAAUGAUUAUAACCAUUUAAUGUAUAUAGAAAUGAAACAAUGUUUCUCUGAAGCAGGGUGCAAAGCACAGUAGUACACAUAACACACAGUAAGUUAUGAAAAUAAGGAUAAAAUCUAGAGAGGUAUUACAAAUAAGUAAUGAACGAAAGUGCAUAAAUUUAUACUGCAAGGUACAGAACAGAUUAACCUGUGACACUUUGAAUAUGAUGCGGCAGAGAGUUUAGAAGCCUAAUGGCCUGAGGGAAGUAGUCACUUCACAUCCUGACUGUUCUUGUUUUUAUUCAUCGGAGUCUCCUGGUAAAUUGUGGAUUUUAAGACCUAAUAUUUACAAACUUCCUUCUGUUCUCACCGGAUACAUCAGUGCUGUAUCCUCAUUGACAGACCUCAAUCAGCGUGGAUUGAUAACGGCAUCUCCUCACUGACCACCCACAGAGGUACACUUUACAGUUUCACAUUCAGUCUGCUGCUCGACUUGUGGACAACAUAUACUCAGUAGCCUCUUUAUUAGGUACAGGAGGAACCUACUUUGUGUUACUCUUUUGAAUGUUGUGUCUCUGAUACCGUGGGCCAAUGAUGCUGCUGCAGGUAAGUUUUCUCAUUGGACCCGUGCAUACUUGGACUUGUACACAUGACAGUAAGUUUGGCUUGACUGAUAUCGUCAGCACUGGAAUUGAAUCUUGGCUGUUCCACCCAAAGGAGGUGGCAUGCUCCAUGAUUGACUCACUCCCCACUUGUCCCAGGCUGGUUAUCAUUUGUUCUGCAGUCACGUUCACGAUAUGACAUGUUUCUGGUUCCUGGUAACUACUAUUUGGUUACUUCUUGGGCGAUUUUCAUUGGGGUGGCCUGCAGAUCCGAGCUGAAUAUGCCUGGAUUCUUUCGAUGUUGUGGUUUAUAUUCCUUGUUUUUUGCUCCUUUGUUUUGCUGUUGGUGCAAUGUGUUUUUUUCUGGCUGGGGGGCGGGUUGAUAUUUUUCUUUGUUUUUUUUUCAGGAUUUUCUUUGUUUCAUGGCUUUCUGUGGGAAGACAAAUUACACAGCUGUAUACUGGAGACAUACUUUCAUAAUAAAUGUACUCCGAAUCUUUGAAUCAAAAGACAGGCACUUUCAGCUCUACGGCUCCUACAAGAGUAGCAUAGGCAAGGAGGAGAGAAUUUGGGGAAGGAAAGGGGUGGGAAGUUGUCAAAGUGGCAUGAUCAGGUGGGACAGCAAGGAGGAGCAUUUCCAUGUUAACUGCCAAAUCAAUGUCCUGCUACCAGACAGAAAAUCCAUUUGAAACUCCAGGAACUGAGAUCAGUAAGCAUCACUGUGGGUGAACUGAAAAGAGGUGUUAACUGCCUGCACAUGAUAAGAAGUCAGAGAACAGGAAGAAAACAUACCUGGGCUAUUUUCAGUCAGAUCCUCCCUGUUGUACAAUGGGAUCAAACUUUGGGUACAAGUAGCCUGUUGGACUUUUCUACUGAUAUGUAGUAUAAAACAUGAAGUUAGUGGUUAUUGAAAAAAAUAACAAAUUCAUUUUUUGUUUAAACAUUGUACAAAGAACAAAUCUCACUGGGUUAAUAAUUUAGAAAAAAGCUUGAUUUUAUAAGUAAUUUAUAGGUGCAGUUGAGCUCCAAAAACACAAUUAAUCAGAGUAUUAGAACCUUAAAAUAGGAUUUAUGUGUCUUUGAGUUGUUGAUAAACAGUUUUAUACAAAUUACGUAAUUGUUUCCCUCCUGUGCGUCACUUCGCAAUUCAGAGAAUAGCUAUGAUAUAAUUGAUUAUAAUUCGAUUUUCUUUCUAUAUUACUGUAAAUGCAGUAGUGCAAAAACAUUAAUAAAUACUAUUUAUUUAACCUUAGCAGGAGAAUAAGUCACCAUUCAAGCCGAAAGGGUAAGGUCUUUAGUGGUGAUUCAAGUAUAAUUUUCAAGUAUAAUUUCAAAUAUAAUUCAAGUAUAAUUUUCCUCCAAUUUUAUAUACAUACUGUAGAAGAGGAUUUUCAUUACUUGGCAAAUUUAAAACAAAGUGGUUUUAAAGAACCAUGAGCUAUUAGGAACAUAGACCUAACCACCUAUGCUAAGUAAAAAAUUAAAGAAUUCUUCAUUUGCAUGCGCAGUGGGAAUCAGAUUAAGUUUUAAUAUCACCAGCAUAACAACUUGAGAUGGUUUAUCAUUAAUAAACUCAAUGCUCAGUUCUUAGUGUUUGAUGGAGUAAUUAACAGCAUAUCUGUUUGUUGUUGGAUUAAUCCAAUGAAGAGACAUCCUGAACCAGAAGGCAAAUUGAGGAUAAUAUUUCUAUUGAUUAUUAAGAUAGUAAAUAAAGUUCUUAUUUAACAGUUUGUUAAAAGAGCAGAGAGAAAGGUUGGAAAAAUGUAAUCAAGUCAGUUAAUAGCAUGCAAAAUGGGAGAAAUCAGAUACAUUAAUUCUUUGAUUUAUGAAAAAUACAUCUUCCUAGAAAAUAAUUAUAUAAUCAAAAUUCAUGGAUCAAUAAUUAGUUGAACUUAUGAAUAUGGUAUUUUGAUGUAAUAUGUUCUUAGAUGUGGAGAAAGGUAUGUUAUUCAUUAGAGUGUAAAAACUAUUGCUGUUUUAUCAAUGACCUUACCUCCAAUGAUAAUGUCAAAAUAUGGAUGUUUGCUGAUGUUUGCAGGCUGUAUCAGUUCCAUUAACGUCUGCACAUUUAGUGAAGCCACCAUCUGGCAAGAUGAGAAUUGGGCUCAGAUUUGGGAGAUUAGGAGCUAAUUAGCAUUGAUGUUGUAUGAGCGCCAAUCAGUGACUGCAGAAAACAGAAAGAAUCUAAAUACUUCCUUUAUGACAGUUCAAGAUAUUUCAAUUGCCAUAUCUCAUCAUUAACAUGAUGAAGUUGUUCACCGACUAAAAACUUGACCAACCAUAGAAAUACUGCGAGAUGAACUGUAUAUCAGAGGCUUGCAUAUUUUGAUGAACAGGCCACUUCUAGAUUCCCAAAGGGGUUUCCUCCAUGAAGGAACCGGCUAAGCCUUUGCCAGUUAUCAUCAACAUCAUUAUAUGCUGUGUUGUAUGACAUCGGCGAUUAUGGUCUUCCAGCUGUCUCUAUCCAUGACCAUAAUUGUUCUUGGCAAAUUUUCCACAGAAGUGGUUUGCCAUUGCCGGGUGGCCCCAGACAUUAUCAAUACUCUUCAGAGAUUGCCUGCCUGGUGUCAGUGGUCACGUAACCAGGACUUGUGAUGUGCACCGGCUGCCCAUACAAUCAUCCACCAGCUGCUCCCAUGGCUUCAUGUGACCCUGAUCUGGGGAGGAGGGGGAGCAGCAAGCAGUUUCUGCACCUUGCCCAAGGGCGACCUGCAGGCUAGCGGAAGGAAGGAGCGCCUUACACCUCCUUUGGGAGCGAUGUACAGUAUAUCCACCCUGCUGCCCAACUUUAUCAAUACCUCUCCUAAAGCUGCCUAGAAGGACUAGAUGGAUACACUGAAUUUCUCUUGAAGACACUUAACACACAUGGAAUUCCCUGAUUACCACUGGGUUAAAAUCCUGGAAAUCUCUUCAACAAUAUCAUGUACGUUCUCUCAAAACAAGGCCUCAAGCAUUUCAAGAAGCUAGUUAUGUAUUAUCAGUGUAAUCUUAUUUUGCCAACAGUACUCACAGUCAACAACAUAAAGGAACUAACUGAUCAGCAUUAUAACUACUAGCAUUUUAAUUUGCUUUUAAGUGAUGCUAUUUAAUAGGAAUAAAAAACAGGUCAGCUAAACAGAAAAUUGAAAGAAAAGUUUUAUACCAAGACAUCUACAAACAUGUAUUUUUAAUAUUGGUACUUUUGAAUGCAAUAUAAUAUUCUGUAAAUGUGGGCAUGUUUGAUUUUCAUGGGUAAAUGAAAAGAAAGCAUGGUUUUGAUCCAGUAUGAGUGAAUAUACCUAUGUUGUUAACUUAGCAUUUAAAUUUGGCUCUGUUUUCAAAUGCUUGAAUGUAAGAACACAGAGGUAAGCACCUGCUGCAAAUGUACCAACAUCGUAUGAGCUUGUGAAUUGUAGCUGGUGUGAUGAAUAGAUGUCAUUGACUCAGGCAACAUUUGUGAAGGGCAAAUGCUUUCAGAGAUGAACUUACAAUGAACAGACAUUAAAUGAAAUUGCACUUAUGAUAAGAAUUUCUAAAUGUCACUUUUUAUUUCUCCUGUAUCAGAACAGAAAAUAAUUUUGCAGGAUUUGGUCCAUUAGAAACUUCUAAAAGCAUCUCAUCUAUCAAAAGAAAUCCUGUUUACUUUCCAUCAUAUAUUACUAAGUGGAGAAACCUCUUCAUGCUGCUAGAUGGAUAAGGGAAGACAGAUUGAAUUGGCUGACUUUUUCAUAUCUUCCUUGUAAUCCUGCAAUAAGAUGCAAAAGAUAUUACUUUAUCCUUAAACGUUUAAAUACCCUUUGAAGGAUCAUUCCUUGCAUAACUUUGCUAAGGUUUUCUAGGUAGUAAAUAUAUGGCUAAGAGCCACAUAUUCCCCAAGCAUUAACAGCCAUUUAUAUAUUAAGUGUUAAUUGAUCCACCACCAUUUGAAUCAUAAAGAUUUCAGUGAGAUACAAAUUGAACUGGCAGGGACUAGGAGUCUAAUCAUUAAAUAGCUCAUG